AAGCAUACACAAGGUUGUGUGCAGGUACCCAUGUAUUAUAGCCAACUAAAACAUGUAUUCUAUCCAACUCAAACAUCAGGUAUCCAGCGUAGUCUCCAUCAGGUAGCCAGCUUGUGACUAUCGUUCAACAUUAUAUGCUUCAUUACUCUCAUUUCCUGGAACAAUAUCUCGGGGUUUGCAAAAAAAGGCAAAGGUGAUUAGUUAUCAUUACAUACAAAUAUUUGUUCUCUGGAAAACUAGAUUAAAAUGUUGAGGAUGGCAACUUGAUAUCCUGUUUGUUCUGCAACUAGAAAUGCUGGUGAUGACAACUAAUGAGAUAUUCUUGUGCGACUAGAAAUGCUGAUGAUGCCAACUAAUGAGAUAUUUUUGUGCAACUAGAGAGGCUGAGGAUGCCAACUACUUGGAUAAUGUUGUCCAACUAGAAUUGUAGAGGGUGCCAACUAAAUAGAUAAUCUUCUGCAAGUAGAAAGCCUGAGGGUGCCAAGUGAUUAGAUACCGUUGGGCAAUCCUCAAAUUUUUUAAGAUGGGAUUAAUCUGAAUUUUUGUGCAACUAGAGAGGCUGAGCAUAUCAACUACUUGGAUAAUAUUGUCCAACUAGAAUUGCCGAGGGUGCCAACUAAAUAGAUACUCUUCUGCAACUAGAAAGCCUAAGGGUGUCAAGUCGCUACAUACUAUAGGGAAAUCCUCAUUUUUUUUAAGAUGGAACUAAUCUGAGUUCUUGUGCAACUAGAGAAGAUGAGGAUGUCAACUAGUUAUUGUUGUGCAAUUAGAAUUACCGAGGUUGCCAACUAAUUAGAUAUUAUUCUGCAACUAGAAAGCCAGAGGAUGCCAAGUCGUUACAUACUCUUGGGACAAUUCUAAAAAACUUGAAGAUGGCAACGUUGAGCAACUGAGAAAGUAGAGCAUGCCAAUGCUUAAUUAGUCCUUCUGCAACCAUGUAUGAAAAUUCAUACACUUGGCUGCCUGUAUGUGGAGUAAAAAGUAUUCAUGAUAGAACUUUAUGUUACCACAGCGGCUGCUGCAGAAGAUGUGGCAUCUACCCCUUUAGAUACUGCCUCCGCGCGCACAUUUCUUCUCUGCAGAUUUACUAAGAGGAAUCUUUCGCCACCAUAAAGUUUUGCCUAGCAGAUUCUGUGCAACUACUUCUAUUGCCCCUGCCAACUACUUCCAAUGACUGUGUCCAACUGAAAACAACUAUGUAUGCAACUAGAACUACUAUAGAUGCCAACAAAAAAUGAUCACCAUAUGUGCAGCUUUCCAAUGACCGUAUCCAACUGAAAACAACUAUGUGUGCAACUAGAACGACUAUAGAUGCCACCCAAAAUUGAUCGCCGUGUGUGUAAUUUUCCAAUGAUCGUGUCCAACUGAAAACAACUAUGUGUGCAACUAGAACUACUAUAGAUGCCAACAAAAAAUGAUUGCCAUGUGUGCAAUUUUUCAAUAAUAGGAUCCAACUGAGAACAACUGUAUGUGCAACUACAACUACUAUAGUAAUGAUCGUCUCUGACGAAAACAACUAUGUGUGCAACAAGAAUUACUAUAAAUGCCAAAAAUGAUCGCCAUGUGUAUUCAGUUCAAUGUAUUCCGUUCCACUUUCACCGCCGUAGGAAAAAGGUUUAGUGUUGUGCAACUUUCUAAUUGUCGUAUCCAACCAAGAACUGCUAUGUGUACAACUACAACCACUACGGAUGCCAACUAAGAAUGUGAAGAUCAAUAUAUCUGAAAAAGUGAUACAUACAAUCAGUAGAAACAGAGGGCAAAAAUACAAAGGAACGAAACAGAUAAAAUUGUUGCUUACGAAUCAAGUGCUGCUUCUUCUGCUUCUACACGGAGAUAUAUUGGCUGUGAGUAUCGAGCAACUGCUUUGCUUUGCAUGCUAUAACCCCCGAAGGGCAUCCUCGUCGUUCAAUAGCCGUUGGCCGUCGUUGUUGCAACAGCAGUCACAUCGCGGGCGCGCGAUAGUUGGUGUUGAGUUCAGUGAGGAUGCAGGCCGAGAGCCACGCAGGUCGCCGCCGGCGAGCACCUUAACCCCACACGGCUAGCCCUUCGUAAUAGCGUGCAUUCAUUUGGAUAUUACACACAUCGUCCUUCAUUCUGCAGUACAAGUAGACAAGAGGGAUGCAUACCUGCUUAUUACAAUUCUCAGCCCGUUUGGACAACGGCGGAAAAUCUUGACAUCCUUGCUUAUCUUCCUCUUGAGCCACUGGCAGAGCUGCGCUGGGUCCGCCUUCCCCGCCACGGCCACGACUCCAGUGCCGACGUUUCCAUCC
Molecule: long non-coding RNA, 2270 nt
Filed under: Triticum aestivum (bread wheat)
Lineage: Eukaryota; Viridiplantae; Streptophyta; Magnoliopsida; Poales; Poaceae
Description: long non-coding RNA (TAES_LNC011543)
Source: RNAcentral